This 468-nucleotide ribosomal RNA is filed under the name uncultured bacterium. RNAcentral describes it as "partial 16S ribosomal RNA". It matches the Rfam family "Bacterial small subunit ribosomal RNA", at positions 28 to 507 of the family's 1533-position model. The record is from RNAcentral.
GACGAACGCUGGCGGCGUGCUUAACACAUGCAAGUCGAACGGAAAGGCCCUGCGUUUGUGGGGUGCUCGAGUGGCGAACGGGUGAGUAACACGUGAGUAACCUGCCCUUUACUUUGGGAUAACUUCAGGAAACUGGGGCUAAUACCGGAUAGGAGCUCCUGCUGCAUGGUGGGGGUUGGAAAGUUUCGGCGGUUGGGGAUGGACUCGCGGCUUAUCAGCUUGUUGGUGGGGUAGUGGCUUACCAAGGCUUUGACGGGUAGCCGGCCUGAGAGGGUGACCGGCCACAUUGGGACUGAGAUACGGCCCAGACUCCUACGGGAGGCAGCAGUGGGGAAUAUUGCACAAUGGGCGGAAGCCUGAUGCAGCAACGCCGCGUGCGGGAUGACGGCCUUCGGGUUGUAAACCGCUUUCGCCUGUGACGAAGCGUGAGUGACGGUACUGGGUAAAGAAGCACCGGCUAACUACGUG